CCUACGGGGGGCAGCAGUGGGGAAUAUUGGGCAAUGGGCGAAAGCCUGACCCAGCAACGCCGCGUGAAGGAAGAAGGCUUUCGGGUUGUAAACUUCUUUUGUCAGGGACGAAGCAAGUGACGGUACCUGACGAAUAAGCCACGGCUAACUACGUGCAAGCAGCCGCGGUAAUACGUAGGUGGCAAGCGUUAUCCGGAUUUACUGGGUGUAAGGGGCGGGUAGGCGGGUCUGCAAGUCUGAUGUGAAAGCCAUGGGCUCAACCUGUGGGCUGCAUUGGAAACUGGAGUGCUUGAGUGCUGAAGAGGCAGACGGAAUUCCUGGUGUAGCGGUGAAAUGCGUAGAGAUUAGGAGGAACACCAGUGGCGAAGGCGAUCUGCUGGACAGCAACUGACGCUGAUGCGCGAAAGCGUGGGGAGCACACAGGAUUAGAUACCCUUGUAGUC
Molecule: ribosomal RNA, 443 nt
Filed under: uncultured bacterium
Lineage: Bacteria
Description: partial 16S ribosomal RNA
Rfam family: Bacterial small subunit ribosomal RNA
Source: RNAcentral